RNAcentral lists this ribosomal RNA (466 nucleotides) under uncultured bacterium. RNAcentral describes it as "bacterial SSU rRNA". It matches the Rfam family "Bacterial small subunit ribosomal RNA", at positions 329 to 792 of the family's 1533-position model. The record is from RNAcentral.
GGCCAGACUCCUACGGGAGGCAGCAGUGAGGAAUAUUGGUCAAUGGUCGGGAGACUGAACCAGCCAAGCCGCGUGAGGGAUGAAGGUACAGAGUAUCGUAAACCUCUUUUGUCAGGGAACAAAGGCGGGGACGCGUCCCCGGAUGAGUGUACCUGAAGAAAAAGCAUCGGCUAACUACGUGCCAGCAGCCGCGGUAAUCCGUAGGUGGCGAGCGUUGUCCGGAAUUACUGGGUGUAAAGGGAGCGCAGGCGGUUCUGCAAGGCUGAUGUGAAAGCCCGGGGCUCAACCGCGGGACUGCAUUGGAAACUGCGGGACUGGAGUGUCGGAGGGGUAAGCGGAAUUCCUGGUGUAGCGGUGAAAUGCGUAGAUAUUAGGAGGAACACCAGUGGCGAAGGCGGCUUACUGGACGGCAACUGACGCUGAGGCUCGAAAGCGUGGGGAGCAAACAGGAUUAGAUACCCCAGUA